RNAcentral lists this ribosomal RNA (119 nucleotides) under Pteropus alecto (black flying fox). Lineage: Eukaryota; Metazoa; Chordata; Mammalia; Chiroptera; Pteropodidae. The record is from RNAcentral.
GUUCAUGGCCAUGCUACCCUGAACAAGCCGGAUCCUGUCUGAUCUUGGAAGCUAAGCAGGAUCAGGCCUGGUUAGUACUUGGAUGGGAGACCACCUAGGAAGACCAGGUGCUGUAGGCG